CUAGGUGAAAUAAGUAGCUGCUGUUGUGCGAUAAACACAACAGAGGAAAGUCCGGGCUCCAAGGGAAAAUAGUGACGGGUAAUACCCGCCGGAGGUAACUCCAGUUAUAGGGCUACAGAAAAUUACCGCCUAAAUAUCUUUAGGUAAGGGUGAAAAGGUGUGGUAAGAGCACACCAUAGCAAUGGUAACAUUGGUAGUCGAGUAACCAACAUUAGGAGCAAGAUUAAAUUAAGGGUAGACUUUAUGUUUUCCUCAUAUCUACUCGGGUAAAUCGCAUGCAGUAAAUGGUAACAUUUACUUCAGAUAAAUAGCUACAUAAACAGAACUCGGCUUAUAUUUCACCUAGACAU
RNAcentral lists this RNase P RNA (350 nucleotides) under Wolbachia endosymbiont of Litomosoides sigmodontis. Its description in RNAcentral is "RNase P RNA component class A". It matches the Rfam family "Bacterial RNase P class A". Rfam says of the family: Ribonuclease P (RNase P) is a ubiquitous endoribonuclease, found in archaea, bacteria and eukarya as well as chloroplasts and mitochondria. Its best characterised activity is the generation of mature 5'-ends of tRNAs by cleaving the 5'-leader elements of precursor-tRNAs. The record is from RNAcentral. Lineage: Bacteria; Pseudomonadati; Pseudomonadota; Alphaproteobacteria; Rickettsiales; Anaplasmataceae.